AUUAGGGAGAGAGAAAAGGUUUUGAAAACAAAUCAACCAACCAACAUUGAGAGUGUGAUUAACAUUUUAAUUGGAUAACAGGUGGCGAUAUGAUAGUUAACAUAGAGGGGGGAAUAAGGGAACACGUUUUUUCUUUCAGUCAUUUUUUCGUUAUUAACCUCUAAUUAAAUUGGAAUAAACAAAUUAUAUUUGUGAUUAAGAAACCUAUCAAUUCCCUGUAAUUUCAUAAAUGGUUCAAUCUUAACAUCUUUCUUUCAAUAGUCCAAACAUUUGUUGUAAAGCUUGAGAAUAUCUUGUCUGGUUUAACGAUUAAAAACAACCCAAGAUCAAAAAUUGCUCCAAAUCGAUUCAAUGUUGACACGCUGAUAUUUGAAACCCUUUCCAAUGGUUAAAACUACCUGAGCAGAUGGUAUAAACUAUUACAUCAAUACUUGAAUCAUCGGCAAUCUGGAAACUAAAUUAAAGACGGAAUAAUUUAAAUUUGAAAAUAAAAUAAAACUCAAUCUGACUUCUUUAAGUCCUUUCAAUUAGCUUUGCUUUUUAAGGUUUUGUUUCUCUCGAAAAAUAACCUCAAUUGUCUAGAUUUGAACUUUGAUUAGUCCUCCACUUUCACCUCUCGAUGGAUAAAUUCAAAUUCACUUAUCAAUAUAUCUUUUAUCACAAUUAUUAAAUUCAUAUAAGGUCAAUCUUUCCGUUCGUAAACCUGAGUGUAUCGGUUUAGAUUUGUAUCGAGUAUCUUCCGUUGGGAUAUCGAUAUCUUCAAUCCUGUAAUCAUUACAAUGUAAUGAUGUGAAAGCGAAAGUGUCAUGUCAUUAUUACUGUCUCCAACCGUUCAUUUUAACAUCUUUAAUUAUCAACUUGUCUUAAUUUUUUGUCAUCACUUCUCAUCGUUGUUACAGUUUCUAUUAUUUAAAUCAUCUUUUCUCUCUCCUGAUGUCGAACUCAUUUUCAUGAAUGGUGCUUUCUAUUUCAUCUAAACGCUCUUUUUUUGCUCCAUUUGUCGCCUACUUAACAGUUUUGUUGUAUUGGACAUAAGCAACCAUGACAGUCAACAUGCUUAUUAAACACUCCAAAAUGGUUUAAAAUGUUUCAAUUUUGGUCGGUUAAAUGGCACUUAUCUGGACAAUUGGUCAUCAUCAUCAGUCGUCUAAUUUUGGAUGCAAAAGUACAAUACUGUGAGAUAUCAAUAGAGAGACGCUAUUUGACUUGAAAUGGUUGGAUUUGCUGUGUUUAUUAAACUGGAUGUGGUCAUUAGUUAUCAACAUUUAAAGGAACCACUUCCUUGUAAAAAGCCCAAAGAAGCUUCCUGAAGAAACAGUUAACAGUCAUAAAGAUGAAAUAAAACUAAAAUCUGGCCAAGUCAUGAUGAAAAGAAGCAAUGACAAUAAUAAUCCUGAAUAACAAUGAAAAGUAAUGAUAAUAGAAAUAUAAUUUAGUUAUUAUCAAAUGGUGAACGUGUGAAUAGGCCUUUAUUGAAAAUUUUCUGAAGUCUAUUAUCAUGAUGAAGACAUUAUCUCUAAAUGAAUCCCUAUGACUCUUGGAGGAAAAAUAAAUUACUGUACAAGAUGACCAUCAGCCAUCUGGAUCAUGUGAACACGAAAUUUGGAUUUACAGAAAUUAUUCAUUAAGGAUUGGAACCAGAGACUGGAAUGGUAAAUAAACUUGGUGGAGUUCAAUGUUAAUGCCAGGUCAACCGGAGGGUGCGGAUUGCACCAAAUUUCAUGGUUAAACAGUGAUAAUGGAUAAUUGUUUUUUCCAGAUAAUUUAUUCAUCAUUGAAGUUUAAUUGAUUUUACAUUGUAUUGAUUUUAAAAGCGUAAAGCGCAAUGAUUUUUAAAAUGCAAUUUAACCUGUCAAUUGUUUACCAGUUAUACUGUAAUUAAUUACUUGAUUAUUCUUAUACUUUUUUUGCACCAAUCCUUAUUAGUUUAUGUUUUACUGUAAAAUUGAGCUGAUGGUCAAAAAUAGGAAGCUAAUUUAUCCCCUUAAGGAUGGAAUCGGCCAGAAUUGAUUAAACUUAUCAAAAAAGAUGAAAAGAUGCUUUUCACAACCAAAUUCAAUCAUAUUUUCAACCUUUUCAUAUUUUAUUUUUUACCUUUAAUUAUACCAAUCAUCGUUAUUAUUAACCUUUAUUAACAUUUAAACAUAUCCAAUCUCAGCAACUGAUUAUUUACCUAUUUUAAUUUACUAUUGUUAUUAUGGUUAGUUGGAGUUAUCAUCAUUUUAAUAAUGUAAAUCAACUUCUUAGGCCUUCUCCUAUUGUAAUUUAUUAGCCAAGUGAAUUACACAUCUUAAUUAUAUUCCUUCCAAUUCUUCACUUGAUUUAUAUAGUUUUUCUUCCAACUCUAAAUCACCUUAACCUUCCUCCUGAAAAGUUAAUUGUUUUAACUUAAUAACUUUACCUUUAAUCUUGAAUGAAGAGGCCAAACUUAAAUCAACUCUAAUUGGGCAAAAUUAACAGCAAAACAAUUUCAUGCUUUUACCCUUAAAUAUACACUUACAUGUUUGGGUUUCCAUUGAAAGCUGCCCUUUAUGCUGUUUAGUUUUAUUCAACGUUAAGUCUUUCAACAUCUAAGGAUUGGCAUAAUUAUUGUUUCUCAUUUUCACUGGAUUAAUUUACAUUUGUUGUUAAAUUGUUUACAAAAAUAUCAUUAAUUUUUCACUAUUAGUAAUUUCAGUUUUUCAAUUAAUUGUUUAUUUUAAUUGUGUUUAAAUUUGAAUUAACCAAUCACUGGCAAGUUAUUUAACCGUUAAUAAAAAGCUUAUCAUGUUGCCAAUGCAACCAAGAAAGAUAAGGAAGCUCCAUUUGUUUACAUUCUGGUAACCCUUGAAAACCGUUUUUAUAUCUCAUUCUGGUUAAACCAUUAUCCAUUAAUCAUUUGGCACUGAUUAGCAACAUAAUGUUUCUUUUUAUUUUCUGUUUAUUAUCAAAUCUAUGGAUAGAAGAAAAAUUCUAUUGUUUGCAGAUUUCAGACAAAAGCUACGUCUGGUCAACAGGAAGAUAAGCCCUAAAAAACGUAACUUUGGAUAAGACAAGGAGCAACAAAAAAUAUUGAGAUGCUGUUGAUGAAGAUGAUGAUGCAGAAAAAAGGCCAGAAAAAUCAACAAGCAAUGUCAAGCAGAAAGAUGGUCAAUAGCGGAAUCUAAAAGCAAGACAACUUGAAAAAUAUCAUGAAAUUGAUGGGAUAAAAAUCAGUCCAAAUUGAUUAUGCUGAGAUGAUUUUAAUUGAAAAGCUCAAAAAAUGUAGCCCCAUUUGGAUUGAGUUUUCCUGUUUCUUUAUCAUGUUUCUUUUGACUGGUGAUGAUUGACAAUCAAAAGGCAAAGUAUUUCAACAAAUCAGGCAAAUCAACGAUUGGUUAAAUCAAAAAAUUGAAUAAUCAAUAGGAUUUCUCAAUUCACUUUCUCGAAAUUGCGACCGAUUGAUGCCGGAAAAAAAUUGAAUCAAUUUUUCUAUUGAAAUGGAUCAUUUUGAUGGUGCAAAUAAUCAAAGACAAAACGGAUUUUUCAACAUAAAGAUAUAACAAAAUCUCAUCUAAAAGUUGAAUCUUGUAUCCUGAAAUAACCAUAAUCCGAUAUGAAACAUGAUCAUCAUGGUACUGAAAUAAUGAAAGUGUCGGAUGAACAUUACUGAGUAGAUUCAUUGCCCGAUGUAUAAUUUUUACCCAUUUGAAAGAUUCAAGACCUUGUUAUGGAUCAAGACUGUCAUGGUGAACAAAAUGAGAGCCAACGUUGUUACAUGGUGUUCAUUAUGCGGAUAAUCUCAAUUAAUUGCAUUGAUGAUUGUUAAUGGGAAAAGCGUAAAAAUUGUAACUAAAACAUCUUCCUAUUUCAACCCUUUCGUGGCUAUGGUCCUGUUACAUAUUCAAUUUUUUCAUCAUUAAUGAUUUUUGAAGAUGAAAAGAUGUUAAUAAUGGUGUUUAAUGCAAACUAUUUGAGGCGGAAGUGUUGGAAAAACGGGUGAAAAUUAUGCUUCUCAUGGUAAACUUAAGACUUGAGUUUGGAUAAAGUAAAAAAGAGCUAUUCCAAUAUCAAUUGAAUUGAAUAUAACAAUAGUCUGGUCAAACAUGUUUAACUCUAAUAAUUGUUAAAUAAUCAACGGGAUAACCAAUGGACGAUAACGCAUCACUGCUGGUGAUCAUCGAUUAAGCUGUUUACAGAUAAUCAAAGUGAAGCAGAGCAACAUACAAAAUGAUGUUGAAUCGUUGUGAAGGGAAAACAAGGAAAACAAUUGAUUGCGGAUGAUGAAGACAAGCAAAGUUAACUCUUUACUCCUUGAAGACAAGAUAAACCAGAGAAAAAAGAUGUUGGAAAAAAGCAUAAAAAAAAGGAAAGGCAAGAAUAGACAAGGAAAGUUGAAUUGGACUGAAUGUGCUGAUGAUGAUGGCUUCUUUGUUUCCACCCUGGCUUUAGCUUAGAUAAUCAAUGAACCAUGGUCAGAACAGAGGUUGAUCAAGCUGAUUGGGUUCAAUAGAUAAAAGACAGCCUUUUUUCAUGAACUUUUCUCUCAUUGACUAUUCAACUCAAUGCAAUUUACAGUUUACCCGUUAAAUUUUACAGAAAAAAAACCUGAUUUGCCGUUGGAUUACACACUAUCUAUUGUCUAAAUUACUCAGGUCACUAACUUUGGAUAACCGUUGGACUAAGGCUAAUAUACAUAUAUCAACACACCAAAAAUUAAUUUACUUUUAACUAACAAUUUAUCUGAUUGUUGGACUCAUGGUUUAGUGUGAUUGUUACCUCGUUUAUUACUUUUCAACUGAUUUACAUGCACGUCUUACCAUCACAUUGAAAUUUUUAUAUCAUCAUUAUCAAUUAAGCCUGAGAAAAAAUAUUACUGAUAAUCUUCCUGAAAAGCAACCAAAUUAUCAGAGCUAUUUGACCAACUAAUUUACCCCAAAAGGAUAUGUUGAAGCAUUACAAUCAAUCAAGAUCAACAAUUCCAGUUUAAGAUGCUAAUCAAAUGGAGGAUAUCAUCUGUACUCUAAUCAAUUGCAACUGUCAAUUCACAAUAAUAAUGGCAAUCUUUUUGGCAAUAACCUUCAAAUUGUUAAAGAUAAUUAUAAUGAUUGGAAAAGAUUGAAUUUAAAACACAAACAAUACCCAAAUAAGGUUGGAUAUUGGUUAAUCAAUGAUGACCUGUUGAUAGUGAAAAGAAAUCGAUCAAGCUGGCACUUUGAGUGUAACUAUUAAAUCCAUUUAUAUCAAUAAUCUAUUCAUAUAUAUUUGGAAAUAUGAAUUUUUAAUUCAACAAUUACAUUAUUUAAAGCGAGGUCAAGAAUGGAUUAAUAUCGCCAAUCCAAGGUCCUAAACAACUGAUUGUAAUAUUUACAAAAGCAAUACAACAUUACAACAUUACAACAAUUUAAAAUUACCUUUGAUUGUUCAACUUUUCACCAUUUUUCAAAUUGCUUGAUGCUAUUAAUCAACAUUUGGAUUCACUGAUUAAUAGAGAUACAACAAUGCAAGAUGAUCGUUAAUCAAAAUGGCUCUAAAUGUAAAAAAUGAAAGGAAAGAUAAUUUGUUACCAGAAUAUCAUUUGGACUUGGACUAGUGGUUAAAAGCUGUCACAAAUGAAAGGGCAAUCCGUUAUUGCCUUGGGUCAAUUUAUUUUUAAUAUCAUCAUGAAAAGUUGAUUAGCAACAACAUUUAAACCUGAUGAUCAACAAUCCUCAAAGUAAAAGUAACAAGGUUCUUGGCCUCAUCCUCAUCACCAACUUUCCUUAACUUUCAUCUCAACUCUCAUCACCAUCCUCAUCCUGAUCAUCUUCCUAUCCUUUUACCUUUCACUUUUUGUUUAAUCUUUUUUCCUCUCUUCUUAACCUCUCCUUGUUUUCCCUCAUAAGGUUAUCUUAAUUUCCUCCAUCAAGUUACGUCAGGUUUUUAUAUACCAAAGGAAUUUAAUCUCUCAGCUAUCAUCCAUUUCAUUUGGACUCAUGAUAAACUGGAAUAACCAAUGUCCCUACGAUUGCUGAGUAUCAAAUUCCGGAAAUAAAAAAGCCAAAAAUGGAUACACAACAAAUGGAGUGAAAACUGUUCAUUAUUGAUUGCCAAUUGAAAAAUUUGAAUCCUUAAACAAAUCUCAAAAGGAUGAUGUUGCUGUUAGUCCAAUUUUUCACCAACACCUCUUCAAAUUUUUCGUGAUUAUAAUAAUUUAAUCUUAAAUUAACUGAUUAUAGUUAAUAAGAGAGUGCAAAAGUGAAGACGAAUCAUGAAGGGAAGGUAAAAAAAGGAGAAAUAAUUUUUUUUCUUUCAAAACACUUGUUCAUCCACUGAACACUAUUUGAUUUUAAUGAUGAACCAUAGUUUUCCGGUUGAUGAAUUGAACACUCCCACUCGUUGAUAAGUUUCCAGAAAUUAUCAUCACCAUCAUGGCUACUGUUGAUUCAUUUUAUGAUUGGUAAUUUACUAAUAAGAAAACUGUUGAUUAUUAAUCCUUUGGGAAACAUCAGUUUCUCUUCCUGUUCAAUUGGAAAUUUACGUUCACCAUCAACAUCAAAACAAAUCAACAUGAAAAUGACCAUCAUCAGCAUCAUCAUUUUGCUACCUUUAAACAGUUGGGUGAAUGAUUGGUCAAUAUGACUACUGGAUUGGAUACUGAGUUAACCAACAAUGGCUCAUAAAAACCAAUGAAAUAUGAAAUGAGGAAGAAAAGAGGAUAAAACGAAGAAGACAAAACAAGUUUAAAAACAGAUUACUCAUGUAAAUAAAGGUAAAACUGGUUCCAGGAUAAAAUUGAAAACAAUGAGACAUUACAGUUGAAUAUGCUUUACAUUCAGAAGGGACAAUCAGAUGAAUAACUUGACUUGUUGAAUAACAAAAUAACCUUUCACAUGGCGAUAACCCAAGGGCCCAACCAGGACAUGCUGUGAUUUGAGUUGCUACUAUCUUUUGAUUAAGUCAUUGGAUAUCUUUGUAUGAAACAGCAAACUUGGACUUGAAAAGGUGUCUAAUUUUUACCAAUGACAAGAAGUGUAGAUGAAAAAAGCAAGAUUUAUUGGUAAAAAAAGGAAAACAGAAAACAGUUUGAAACAAAAUUUAUGUUUUUUAGCAGAUAAUUCAGGUCCAUAUUUUGAAGUGCCUUAAGGUUUUCCCUCUAAGUAGACAUCAUUUAUCAUCAACAUGAUAAACAUUUGAAACCACUGAUUUUCAUCUUCUCUUUUACUUUUAUUCAACUAAUUACAGUUAAGCUAAUUAACCACGGCUUUAAUUGGUAGUCCAGUUACUCAUCUUGUUUUCAACUCACACUCUGUUUUACCGUAAAUCUUGUAUAUCUUGUUUCAUUUGUAAAACAAUUGUGUUGACCAGCAAAAAAAAAACUUCAAAUGCAACAAACAAGAGCAAUUGUAAUAAGUUAAAAGCAAUUGAAAUUACUAUUUUAACUUAUUAAUUGUUCAGUUAUGGUAAACAGAUAACAAUAAAUUAUCUUUACAAUUGCCUUUUUUUGCCUCUGCUUUGAAGUAACGCAAAAGAUAUCAAAUUGCUUCGUGGUUGAUUGUAAAAAAAGAGCUUGGAAGGAAACUGGAUUUAGAACAAUUAAUCAAUGUGGAAAUCAAAUUUGGUGUCACUAUUUACAUUUGAAAAAUGUGUUGAAGGAUCGAUUGUUGACUGUUUCCAAUUGAUGAUUAAUGUGACCGAGAAAAAAACAAUCAAUUUAACCUUGAUUAGUUAAUGUAUUUGGACAGUGGAAUCAAUUGAAUCAAUAGAGUCGAUGGAAUCAAUGGAAGAGUCUGUGAAUAUCUGAUUCGGAAAGGAUAAACAUUGAGUUAUUCAUGUGAGAUCACCAGAUGAUGAUCACAUCGAUGCAGACUGUCAAUGUAAAUAUCAAUGAAUCAACGUCAAUAUAGAUGAUAAUGAGAUUGCCAAUGAAUCUUGGAAAAUUUGAUUGCCAAGAUGAUUGAAUGUACCAACAAUUUUGAUUCUAAAAGAUUAGGUUUUAACAUAUUUUUAAGCUUCUUUGAAUUACCUUUGAAAAAAAUACUAGAAAAGGUGAGAAAAGCUUGUUCGAUGAAGCUAAUAAUAGUGAUAAAUAAUAAUGUAAGGAAUGUAUUAUAUCAAAGGAGAAAGGUUAAGUACAAGAGGGUCAAAUGAAGUAAGGUCACGGAGUUACCAAUAGAUGUAAAGACUGAAUAGGAUUUUUGCUCUUCGCCUGGUGAAAACCUUUUCUUCAACAGGUUGGAGGAAAAAUUUCCAGGGUCCAAGUUGAAUCAUGAGGAUGAUGGAGAUGAUGAGGGUUUGAUAAACAAGUUGAUAGAGUGAAAAAGAUUGAAAGAUUGUUUUGUGAUAAUCUCUAUCAUUUUAAUUCUCCCUCAUCAUGUAUUGGUCAUUAUCAUCAUCAUUGAUGGCUUAAAUCUAGUCGAUGAAGCUUCUUACAAAAAGUAGUUCUUACCUAGUAAUAGUAGUCAGUGAAGUUGGGAGAGAAACUAACCAAUGAUACGGAAAAAGUAGUUAGGAUGAUGAUGAUGAUAAUAAUGGUGAAGAUGGAAGAGUGUAAACCGCAAUUGUAAGCGUUUUUUGGCAACUAAAAUAAAUAACUGGGUGCUACAAUCAAACCAAUUCACAACCAAUCAUUACAAUCACAUUUCAUGUCAAAAAAUCUUCUACCAUCAGAAAAGGGCUUCUCAAAGAUGUUACAUUGAACAUGUUACGAUGAGAAGCAAGGCUUUUAGGUGUUUGGAUAAAUUUUAAACUUAAUCAACUGAUUGUUUUAUUCUAGGAGUUAAAUUAUCGUCAAUUAUUGUUCCUUAAUCGUACCAACAAUCAAAGGCUGCAUAAUCAUUUUGCUCCAUUAACAUCAUCAUUGACCAUCUUUACCAUUAAAGUCACUUGUUGCGGUUUAACUGUAUUAUUCAAUUAUUAGGUGAUGAACAAGGGAAACACUUUUAACACUGAAAAGCGCAAUAAAUCAGUAUAACAAUUGAAUGGUCAGUAAAUUGUUGAAAUUUAAUUAAUUGUCUUUUUUUAGGGAAACAACAUUUUCUUCAAUUGUUCACCGAUCUAACUAUUAAUUCAAUUGUCAGUGUUUAACAGGCUUUAUAAAAUGGUCAAUCAGUUGGUUAUGGUUGCAAUCAGAUGAAUCAAAAGCAAUUGUUUAGUUGAUUGAAAAGGAUUGACACCAAGAAUUGGAUUC
Molecule: non-coding RNA, 9127 nt
Organism: Tetranychus urticae (two-spotted spider mite)
Lineage: Eukaryota; Metazoa; Arthropoda; Arachnida; Trombidiformes; Tetranychidae
Source: RefSeq, a predicted model, not a curated record